AAGGAGCAUUUCUUACCCGGCUUCGGUUGGGUCAGAGGCCAGUACACCGGCGAAUGUUCGGUGCUGGUUGCUCAUGGGUGGAACGUUGACUACUCGGCACGACAGGUUGAUCACUGCAAGUACUGCUUCGGCGUGGAACGUGGUGAGGGACAGGUCGGGUCGGGCACGCUGUUGGGUAUCUGAAGGUACGGGCUCGGUGAGUCUGUUCCUUUGGUUGCCGGCCCCAGUGCACUCACCUGUAAGGGUGGGGUGAUGGGUGGCUGGUCGUUG
This 270-nucleotide unclassified non-coding RNA is filed under the name Streptomyces scabiei. RNAcentral describes it as "partial 16S-23S ribosomal RNA intergenic spacer". Lineage: Bacteria; Bacillati; Actinomycetota; Actinomycetes; Kitasatosporales; Streptomycetaceae. The record is from RNAcentral.